AAAUGAAUUGACGGGUCCCGCACAAGCAGCGGAGCGUGUGGUUUAAUUCGUUGCUACACGAAGAACCUUACCUGGGUUUGACAUAGAGGUAGUAGGGAAGCGAAAGCGGACGACCUUCGGGGAGCCUCUACAGGUGUUGCAUGGCUGUCGUCAGCUCGUGUCGUGAGAUGUUCGGUUAAGUCCGCUAACGAGCGCAACCCUCGCUGUGUGUUACAAGUGUCACACGGUACUGCCGAUAUUAAGUCGGAGGAAGGUGGGGAUGACGUCAAGUCAGCAUGACCUUUAUAUCCAGGGCUACACACACGCUACAAUGGCCAGUACAAUGGGUUGCCAAGCCGCGAGGCGGAGCCAAUCCUAAAAAGCUGGCCUCAGUUCAGAUUGCAGUCUGCAACUCGACUGCAUGAAGUUGGAGUUGCUAGUAACCGCAGGUCAGCAAUACUGCGGUGAAUACGUUCCCGGGGAUU
RNAcentral lists this ribosomal RNA (464 nucleotides) under uncultured Anaerolineaceae bacterium. RNAcentral describes it as "bacterial SSU rRNA". It matches the Rfam family "Bacterial small subunit ribosomal RNA", at positions 903 to 1382 of the family's 1533-position model. Lineage: Bacteria; Bacillati; Chloroflexota; Anaerolineae; Anaerolineales; Anaerolineaceae. The record is from RNAcentral.